This 439-nucleotide ribosomal RNA is filed under the name uncultured bacterium. Its description in RNAcentral is "partial 16S ribosomal RNA". It matches the Rfam family "Bacterial small subunit ribosomal RNA", at positions 339 to 795 of the family's 1533-position model. The record is from RNAcentral.
CUACGGGUUGCACCAGUGGGGAAUAUUGCACAAUGGAGGAAACUCUGAUGCAGCAACGCCGCGUGGAGGAUGACACUUUUCGGAGCGUAAACUCCUUUUAUAUAGGAAGAAGAUGACGGUACUAUAUGAAUAAGCGCCGGCUAACUCCGUGCCAGCAGCCGCGGUAAUACGGAGGGCGCAAGCGUUACUCGGAAUCACUGGGCGUAAAGAGCGUGUAGGCGGAUUAAAAAGUCAGAAGUGAAAUCCUAUAGCUUAACUAUAGAACUGCUUCUGAAACUCUUAAUCUAGAAUACGGGAGAGGUAGAUGGAAUUUCUGGUGCAGGGGUAAAAUCCGUAGAGAUCAGAAGGAAUACCGAUUGCGAAGGCGAUCUACUAGAACAUUAUUGACGCUGAGACGCGAAAGCGUGGGGAGCAAACAGGAUUAGAUACCCCUGUAGUC